GUUUCCACUGAAGAGGAGGGGGUCUGAGCCAGGCGCUGGGACCCCGUGCGCUGGGCAGCCCCAGGCGCUGGUCAUAAGGACCCGGGACAGCGUGAAGCAGGUGCUUCCAGGGUGCUCCUCUAGCCCUCUCAUGUCUCUCUCUGGAUCCUGAGGGCGUCACUGGAAAAACACCCAGCAGAACGGUUGGCUCCUGUCCCUGGACUGAGGAGGAGCCCAGUGGGGACCCAGCGCUCUGCCUGCUGCCAAACCCCAAAGUUUUCACCACGUUCCUGGAGGAAUUUAGACAAAUAGGCACCAUCCCCCAAAGACUAGGAAUGCACUUACUGCCAAAGCAUGCCUGGUGUGGAUCAGAGACGGACAUGGGCAUCGACGUCACGCAGGGCUGGAUCCGGCAGCAGCUGCUCCCGAUGUGGGGUCCGCGUGGGGAAACCAGCCACGCACCUGCUGCCCCGUGUGCGGGCGGAUUUGGGCAGAAGCUUCUUCCCACUCUCGACUCAGGCACGUACCCCAGUGUGGGCCACAGAAGUCUGGAUUGUUCCACGGGGACCCGGGCCAUGUGGCAGGACAUGGCGCCUGGCCUGUCAGAGGAUGGAAGAUGUGAUGCUGGAGCUGGAGCAGUCAUCUUGUGACCGUGAGGCUAUGAGCAGAAGGGCAAAAGCUUCAUUCGGGAUGGCUGGACAGAAAGACAGGAAGCUCCGAGGCCCUGUAAGCAGAGUUCGGAGGCUGCCUGCUCUACACUACGCCGCUUGUCACACAAGAAAAGUAA
This is a long non-coding RNA of Zalophus californianus (California sea lion), 766 nucleotides long. RefSeq lists it as uncharacterized. NCBI's taxonomy places the organism in Eukaryota, Metazoa, Chordata, Mammalia, Carnivora, Otariidae. The record is from RefSeq and is a predicted model, not a curated record. The transcript is spliced from 3 exons.